RNAcentral lists this ribosomal RNA (315 nucleotides) under uncultured eukaryote. RNAcentral describes it as "partial 18S ribosomal RNA". It matches the Rfam family "Eukaryotic small subunit ribosomal RNA", at positions 1470 to 1796 of the family's 1831-position model. The record is from RNAcentral.
CCCUUAGACGUUCUGGGCCGCACGCGCGCUACACUGACCAGUGCAACAAGCAUCCGUCCUUGGCCGACAGGCCCGGGCAAUCUUUGAACGCUGGUCGUGAUGGGGAUAGACUUUUGCAAUUUUUGGUCUUCAACGAGGAAUUCCUAGUAAACGCAAGUCAUCAACUUGCAUUGAUUACGUCCCUGCCCUUUGUACACACCGCCCGUCGCACCUACCGAUUGAAUGGUCCGGUGAAGCCUCCGGAUUGGCGCGCACCUCGGUGCCGCCGAGAAGUUGGCUAAACCUUACCAUGUAGAGGAAGGUGAAGUCGUAACA